RNA transcript from Phyllopteryx taeniolatus (common seadragon), 19860 nucleotides. It is a transcript of the gene named Usher syndrome 2A (autosomal recessive, mild), with no coding region annotated. The transcript is spliced from 96 exons. The record is from RefSeq and is a predicted model, not a curated record. Lineage: Eukaryota; Metazoa; Chordata; Actinopteri; Syngnathiformes; Syngnathidae.
GUGGCUGGUCAUAAUCACCGUUGCCUAUAGUGACGGCGGUAGCGUCCCCCUCGCUGGUGAGAGCCACUUAAGUGACAGACUCGUCCCCCACAGAUGGGGGUGUAGUCAGAACACGACUGAAUACAUUAAACGCCCGGCUGUCACGAGUUUAGCGUUGUAUUCGUACUACCGCUGCCAUUCGCGGUCUCGGAGUAGUGUAAUAUGUGACGUCUUGGUUACUUUGACACGACCAGAUGGCGGCUGGCUGCUGCUAAUCUACUUAGGAGCGUGCGUGUGUGUGUGCGGCUUGUUUGCACCGGCAGAGACGAGACGAGACGAGACGAGGAGGAAACGAGCCCUCAAACUUCUGUUUUGUUUUCUUGCCAUUUGUUUGUCUUAAAACCAGAAAUUGAACAGAGGAAACUAUUCCAAGUCGAUAAGGGCAUUUUUUUUUCUUUCCCCGUCUGGUCGCGUGCUUGGUUGUUUGGCUACAAAUCCAGGUAGCUAAUUAGCCCGAAGUUCGUUGAAUCAACAAGUUGGACUUUUUAUGGAUCAACACAACAUGUAAAUGCGGACGGAGCCUUUUGUCACGGAAGGUUGUGAAAUCCUAGCUAUCAUGCGAAGGCUUUGGUUGUGGCUGGUGUGUGCGGUGGACACAGCCAGUGCAACCGAGACCUAAGCUUUGCACCUUCACCCUUGAGGGCACUGGCCUGUAAAAAAAUGUCUCUGUAACCCUGCAACCAUGACACCAUGCCAGUCAUCACUUAUUCAAGCGCUGUUGGGAGGCUUCCAAGGCAUCUCCAAAUUCUGGAACAUCCCACUGGCCUCAGGAAUGUUCCUAAAAUUUGUGUUGUCUCACAAUGUAGAACCUCAGGUUCUGUCAUCUUUUAGGGUCACGGGAGUCCACAAAAAUGACAGAAUCGCAAAGAACGGAAAGUUACAAAUGAAGAGGGGAACAUGGAGCACAAGAACUAGUCAAAUGAUUGGAAGACGACACGAAUUAUGGAUUGACUGUAACUGGGAAGUUGGAAAAGCUGAUGAAGAUGCUGCUGGGAUUCCAUUAAUGGGAGUGGCAAGAGAUGAUCAACUCCGGCGGGACAAAAACAAGAGCAGGAGCUAUGAAUGUCCUCUUAAAAACUGUACAGGAGAACAUGUAAAGAGAGACGAUGAAGUAAUGUUGGUGAUGAGGUGGCAACCCAUCUUCCUCUGCAUAUGUUUCCUCUUCAUCGGUCUCUGUCCAAAACCUGCUUUAUCACAGGGACAUUUCCCACCAAUGGAGAACAUUGCUGCCUUCAAACCCGUGUCCACCUCCCCAGCUCGUUCUACCUGUGGGGUUCCGGAUCGGAGUGUCUACUGCCAGACAGAUUCCUCACAGACUGAGCUUCUGAUUUGCCAUCAGGCCUCCUGUGACCAGGAGUGUCCCUAUAGAUCCACUAUGCCACCUUAUGCCCCACUACUACUGCCUGCCUACAGGGGUGCAUGCAUCACAGAAGACUCUACAGACACACGUCCUACACUCCAUCAGACAUCAGAGUUGGACAGUUUGACCACCUCUAUGUCAAGUGGGGUUUCAGCUGUAUCCGGUAGUGUUAUGUUUCCUCAAGUCCAGCAGGAAUGUCUGCUGUCUCCCCCCUCUCAGAAACUGGGAGCUUCGGGAUCCCUCACCCUAGCAUUAUGGAUUAAACCAAGCUCUCCAGGAGAGAUGAUACUGCUGGAGAAAAACUCGGGGGACCAGUUAGUCUUUUCAGUGACAGUGUCGGAACAGGUUCUGAGUAUGCAGUACACUCAGUCCAGAAGUUCAACUCCGCUGACCAUCAGCUUCAGAACAGAGGGACGACUUGUGACGGACAGGUGGACCCACAUUGUUUUACAGGUGCACGACAGACAUGUCAGUCUUUUCUUGAAUGGGCUGGAGGAGGAUGGGACACCCUUUGAGACCCGAUCACUGGCCACCAGAUUGCAUGACAGCAAUGAGGACAGCACCAUGAGGGUGGGACUCGGUUCCAAAGGGUCCAAUCAGUACAUGGGGCGGAUGCAGGACUUUAGAUUUUAUCCUGCCACUUUGACCAACAGGGAAAUAGUGGAGAUUUAUUCAGGUGCCCUGCCACAGCUCCAUUCCCAGUCUGAGUGUCGCUGCCCUCCCACUCAUCCCAGAGUGCAUCCUUUAGUAGAACGAUAUUGUAUCCCCAAUGCUGUUGAGGACACCACCAAUGACAGAGUCUUAAGACUAAACCUCAUUGCACAUCCUCUCGCUUACAUCAACGAUCAGGACAUGGGCACAGUGUGGCGCUCAAAGCUCAUGACCACACAGGAAUUGGACAAAGGAUUCACUAUUACUGUGGAUUUGGCAAAUGGACAGUACCAGGUAUUCUAUGUCAUAGUUCAGUUUGGUGGCCCAUUGCCUGAGUCACUUUUGAUCCAAAGGCAAAGACUCCCUGAUCAACAGAACAGCACCAACAGAGAGCAGCCCUGGCUGGACUGGCAGUAUGUGGCUAAAGACUGCAGUGUGUUUGGAAUGCAGAACAAUGGGCCACUGCUGACACCGGACUCAGUCAACUGUCUCCAACUGCCCAGCGAGGUCCACUACUCUGAAGGUAACAUCACAGUCAGCCUGCUGAGCCCAGAGCCAAACAUGAGGCCAGGCUACAAUGAUUUCUACAACACCCCCACCCUUCAGAAGAUGGUAGAUACCACUCAGGUACGGCUACACCUUAGGGGACAAUACUACACCAGAGCAGCCGGAGUGGACCAGCGACACAGACAUUAUGCCAUCAAAGAAAUCACCAUCAGUGGCAGAUGUGAGUGUCAUGGCCAUGCAGAUCACUGUGAUACCAGCGUGUCCCCCUAUCGCUGCCUGUGUCUGCCUGAAAGUCACACUGAGGGAAACAAUUGCCAGCGUUGUGCGCCCCUCUACAAUGACAAACCCUUCCGGCCAGGUGAUCAGCUCCAGCCAAUGAACUGUCGGCCUUGCCAGUGCAAUGGCCACGCCCACUCCUGUCACUAUGAUGCCUGGGCUGAUGACCAACCAACGGAACAAUAUCUGGGAGGAGGAGGAGUCUGUGACAACUGCAUGCACAAUACAAUGGGUAGGAACUGCGAGCUCUGUGUAAGUGGCUUUUUCAGGCUGGAGCAAUCAGAUCCUGCUUCAAUCCAUGUGUGCCAGCUCUGCUACUGUCACACUGCUGGAACUCUCAAUGGCAGCACUGAGUGUUUCCAGGUUGGAGGCCAGUGUCAGUGUAAGGCUGCUGUAACGGGGCGGCGCUGCGCAGACUGCUCACCUGGCUUUUAUGGUCUUCACGCUUCCAAUCCAGAGGGCUGCACUCGCUGUAAAUGCAGUGAAAUAGGUGCCAUCAGCUCCUCCACAGGAAGUGUUGCCAGCUGCAACCAGCAUACAGGGCAGUGUCAGUGCAAAGCGCAUGUGACAGGCCUGUCUUGCGAUCGUUGUGAAUUUGGUUAUUGGAACCUGUCCCGCUCGGACGGCUGCAUCCCAUGCGACUGCAACCCCUCGGGAUCCCUCAGCCCGUUCUGUGAGCCCGAGGGGGGCCAGUGUGCGUGUAAGCCUGGGGUGGGGGGCCAGCGCUGUGAUUCAUGUGGCCGUGGUUUGACUGGUUUGAGGCUGGAGGGAACCUGCAGCGCCUGCAACUGCUCAAUAGAAGGAACAGUACCUGGGACAGACUGUGAUCCUCACACAGGCCAAUGUGUGUGCAAGGAAUAUGUGGAAGGCCAUCUCUGUGACUCUUGUCGUCAUGGUUACCACACCUUGGAGCUCCGAAACUCCCUGGGUUGUCUGCCGUGCGCAUGUGACAUUAACGGCACGGUGCCGGAGGGAAUAUGUGACAUGGGGACUGGACAGUGCCCGUGCAGAGACGGGGUGGAGGGGAUGCAGUGCACCAACUGUGCCCGCAACUACUUUCACACAAGUUCAGAUAUACAGAACGGGUCAUUCCAGGGCUGUGCACAGUGUACAUGUGACCCAAGAGGAACAGUGGCUGGCUCAGUGUGUGACAGCACCACAGGGCAGUGUGUGUGCACGCCAACACGCUAUGGAAAAGACUGCAGAACAUGCCAACCUGGUUUCUACCUUUCCCUAGAUCAGACUAUGUGUGUGGAGUGUGACUGCCAUCCCAUGGGGGCAGUACAACGCAAGUGUGAAAGCCAAACUGGCCAGUGUGUGUGUGCCCAUCCCUCGGUGAGAGGGCGACGCUGCGACCACUGUCGGGAGACCUUCUUUGGAUUCAACCCUGGCCUGGGAAGAUGUCAACCAUGUGCAUGUGACCCUGUGGGCAGUGUCAAUGGCUCCUGUACUUCAGAUUUAGGAGUGUGUGAGUGUAAACUGCUGGUUACUGGGGACAAAUGUGAUGCAUGUCAACAUGGAGCAAGCCAUUUACGUGCAGAGAACGUCUAUGGCUGCAGUAAAGCCCCAUCGCAGCAACCUGCCCCUGUAGCCUUUUCUCUCAGUUUUUCUUCCAUUAAUCUGACUUGGCAUCAGCCUGACUCCCCAAACUCAAACACUCUCAACUACACUCUCAUGAGGGACUGGCAGGCUGUGCACAGCAUACAGCGCAGCUAUCCUUUCUGCCCUGAAUUGUUCACAGACGCUGGUUUGUCCCCUUACACGAACUAUUCCUACUGGCUUAUUACGGCUAAUGUAGCCGGUGAGACCAUUAGUGCAACUUCUUCGUACCAAACUUUAGGAGCUCCACCUGAAUUGGACCUGCUCCAUUUAAACCUUGUGGGACGACCUGGCCCCACCAGUGCUAGCUUUAACUGGAGUGCACCACCGAAUAACACAGGCCCAGUGGAGCGGUUUGUAUUGUCCUCCACAGAGUCUUCUAGCGGAGCAGAGCCUGUCAUCCACUACACAGGUUUAUUGACUGAGGCAGUGGCAAGUGGCCUAAAAGCCUUCACCCAGUACACUGUCACUCUGCAGGCAUGUUCAUCUGGAGGCUGCACUUCUACUUUACCUUUGUCACUUCUGACAGCUGCUGCCCUCCCACAAAACCAAUCCGCUCCCAAGGUCACUGCCACCGGACCUCACACUCUGUUCGCUUCAUGGGAGCCUCCCGCUCAGCCAAACGGAGUUAUCACAAGGUAUGAGCUGUUUUUACGGGGGCUGGCAGAGCCUCACAGCCUGUCAACUCUGACUGGUGAAAAAAGAGUUUUUGUCAGCACUGGAUGGCUGGAUCCAAGCACCCUGUCUCAAGCGCAGCUCAUCAAUAGGAGCACAGCUUUUCCCCCUGAGAGCAGUACCAUUGUGAGCGGUCUGCAGGCAUUUUCCACCUAUCAGAUGAGAGUCGUUAGCGUCAAUAUGGCAGGAAAUGUCACAUCAGGGUGGACCACCGCACGCACAAUGGAGGGAGUUCCAGAGUUGAUGCCUCCUCCAGAUGUGACUGCACUGUCCUCCACCAGUCUUAAGGUCACAUGGAGUACUUCUGAAGGUCAAGGGGUCAUUGCCAGAGGGCAGGUCAUAGAAUAUUGUGUCAGUUUGGAGACUGAACAGACCAACAUCUAUGCUCCUCCAGUUGUUAGCCAAGUCCUGCAGCGGUUUGGACCCUCAGCCAAGUCCCUUUAUAUAGUAAAAGGGUUGAAGCCUUACCAUGUGUACAACUUUACUGUGACACUUUGCACUAAAAAAGGCUGCAUUACCAGCCUUGCCAGCUCUGGUCAGACUCAACCAGCAGCUCCAACAGGACUUUCACCACCUCGACUAUUCCCAGUCAAUGAAACCACCAUUCAGAUAGAGUGGGAUGUCCCAUCUCAACUCAAUGGACCACAUCCGAUGUACCAGGUGGAGAGGACAGACGUUUCUGUUUCAGACCCCCAAGGCCCUUUCAUCAGAGGUACCAGGUUCUCUGGCACUGGUUACUACCAGUUUCCCAGUGACUCCCUGCCUUUUAACACUGACUUCAAUGGUGUUGAAUUGAGUUUCAAGACUCACUCUCCAGAUGGGUUGCUGGUCUGUGCCCUGUCUCCUGGAAAUCAGGAAGAAUUUCUGGCUAUCCAGAUAAAAAACGGACGUCCCUACUUUUUGUUUGACCCUCAGGGCUCAGUGGUGACUGUGAGUGCACAAGGGGAUGGGGGGCGCCACUACAACGAUGGAAAAUGGCACCACAUCAUAGCAACAAGGCGAGGGGCCGUGGGAACAAUCGUUGUGAACAAUCAAUACAGAGGAAGUUCUUCAGCCUUCAGUGGCAGCACUAUAAUUGGUGAGAAUACAGGAGUGUUCAUUGGAGGACUGCCGGAAGAUUUAACUCUGCGACGGACAGAUUCAGGGGUUGCCCGACUGAUGCGACAGGGUUUCUCUGGUUGCCUGAGAGACGUGCGUUUCAAGAUGACUGACAGCCCCUCGGAUGAGUGGAGAUCUCUGGACUGGACAAAAGCCACAAAUAAAAUAUCAGCCUGUGAAAGCUGGGAGGGAUGCCCGAUUCAUACUGUGGAUGGAGCCCAUUUUCUGGGUCAUGGUUACCUGGAGUUAAACAGAGAUGUGUUUCGUGGAGGACAGGACUUUGACAUCUCAAUGGAGUUUAGAACAGACCAACUCAAUGCACUUUUGCUCUUUACAUACAACACACAGACUGAUGAUUAUAUGCUGGUGGAGCUGAAGGGUGGCCUCCUGUCAGUCCUUCUCUCCACCGGAGGUCACGUGACUGAUCUUAGCAUGUGGGUGGGGCUUAGCUACUGUGAUGGAGACUGGAAGCAGCUUUCACUGGCAAAACACAGCGCACUCAUCUCGGCUGCUCUCGAUGACUGGGCAGAGGAGACGAGGGGAGCAGGAGCAGCAGGGAGGCUUAGCGUUGACUCACCAUUAUACCUGGGUGGGGUGCCUACUCAACUCACACACACUGCUCUGGACAUCCACAGUCUCAGACACGGUUUUGGAGGUUGCAUGAGAGGCCUCACCAUUCAAAGUGAUAAAACAACCCCUCCUGUCAGUCAAAGUGUUCAUCUCUCUGUAGCCUCGGGACGCGCUGUUAGAAUCUACCUCGAUGGCUGUCCUAACAGUGAAAGUCGUUACAACUGCCGGGGCAAUGAUUCAGUGUUGGCCUUCACUGGUAGAGAGACGCAUGCCUUUGAUUACAGUCUGCAGCCAUUCACUGAAUACUUGUACAGAAUUAUAGCUUUGGGAGCAGGAGGAGGGACAGCCUCGCCUUGGCAGAGAGGACGCAGCCGCGGCAAAGUUCCAAGCUACAUUCCACCUCCCUCCGCAGUGCAGAUUUUGAAUGGCUUCAGUGCCAAGGUGAGCUGGGCUCCACCUACCGGUGAUGUCAGAGGUGUGAUUGACAGGUAUGAGUUGCGAGCCUACAAGAGGGAGCAGCCAGAGAUGCCACCACUUAAAGCCAUAUACCCGGCUAAUGGCAAUUUCACAGGUGUGUUGUUUGGUCUUACUCCGUCCACGCAGUACGUGGUCACUGUAAGUGCUUGUAUUGCGACUGGCUGCACAGAGAGUCUUCACAAUGACAACGCUGAUGUUACUGAUUUGAGAUCAGUUCUGAAAACCCCAGAGGAAGCUCCUGAUGCUGUUUCUCCUCCAACUGCACUCUCAACACCCGCUGCUCUUUUUAUCACCUGGAAACCUCCAGCAAGGCCCAAUGGAGUAAUUACAGAGUACCGUCUCUAUCAAAAUAACCAAAUGGUCUACAGUGGGGAGGAGAGACACCAUAACAUUACUGAGCUUGGCAUCUAUACUGCGCACGUCCUGGUACUGUCUGCAUGCACUGUGGUGGGAUGCACCAACAGUUCAAAGGUCACAAUGUUGACCUCUCAGCUUCCUCCCGGGCCUCUACAAGCGCCAACUCUGACCUUCCUCGACUCACGGACCAUCCUGGUGGAGUGGUCUCGACCUUUUCAGGUCAAUGGUGUUCUGGAGUUCUAUUCCAUCUUCGUUGCACAGGGUGAGACAGAGCCCGCCAUAGUCCACAACAGUUCAGAACUUGUUGAAGACCACACGCUCCGCAACCUCACUCCUGGCACGGGCUACACCAUCACAGUUGCUGCUUGCACAGGCGGUGGCUGCACCCGAAGCCCCCCUGCGCAGGCUGUUACUGAGGAAAGCACCCCAGAGAAUGUCCCAGCACCACUGGUCUCCCCUUUGUCACCACAUGCACUGAACGUCAGCUGGACAGCUCCUGAUACUCCAAAUGGCAUCAUAACGAGCUAUGGCCUUUGGAUGGAUGGUGUUCUUAUAUCAAACUCCAGUUCCUCCCAGAACUUUGUAGUGGUGAAGGAGCUUUCUCCAUGGAGCAGACACAUAUUCAGGCUUCAGGCCUGCACAACGCGUGGCUGUGGGAAGGGACCAAUGGUGGAAGUACGCACAUUAGCGAGGGCCCCAGAAGGCCCCAUACUGCUAGAAUUGACCAACCAGAGCUCUCGUUCAUUACGAGCCCGCUGGACUGCUCCACCAAGACCCAAUGGCUUCAUGAGAUACACACUCUACUGUAAAAGUGCAGUUGGCGAUGUGGUGCUGGACGGAGGCACAGCAGCCAGUAGGUGGUUGACUUUGACGGACCUGCAGCCGUACACCAACUACAGCUUCUGGGUCGAAGGUUGCAACACACAGGGCUGUGUCGAGAGCCCGUCGCUUAAUGUUACAACGUCUCCAGCAGCUCCAGACGGAUUGUCCACCUUGAGACUCACUUGCGCAACAAGCACCAGUCUAAAUGUGUCUUGGUCCGAACCAGCACACUCGAAUGCCCCGGGCCCUCUUCACUACAGUCUACAAAUGAGGACAUCACCCCAGAGACCCAUGAUAAGGCUCCUGGAAAAUGUGACGGAUGCUUUCUCCUUUUACGUGCCGGGCCUCUCUCCAUACACCCAGUAUCUAUUCCGACUGGUAGUCUCACACACAUAUGGACAGACGACAGGCCCCUGGGAAGCCCUCCACACAGCAGAGGACAGUCCAGGUCCACUCGACCCUCCGACUGUUGCAAGGCUUCAUUCUCGAAAUGUUACAGUCAUAUGGGUCCCACCCCCUCAACCAAAUGGCAAGAUACAAAGUUACAGCCUCUAUCUACAAUCUGGCUCUUUCUCUGCUUUAUACAACAAACCUGGUGCCAAUAUGGAACCCAACUCAAGCUUCAGUUCUAACCCAAGAGCGGAUCUUAAAAAUAUUUACUCAAGUCAAAACCUGAAGCCAGCAUCAGGUGUUACCAUAACUGCGUCAGAACGACACCUAUCAAAGGGCAUCCACACUCCAGAAUCCACUUAUACGAGUCAAGGGACUGGUCCAAACCUAUUACAAUCUAUAGAACCCACUGCCAUUGCAGGGAUGAACCAAAGACCUGCAGUGUCACAUCAACAAUACACUUCAAGCAGUCUGAAUGUUGAGCAUUUAAUCAAGCAAGAUGUCCUCCACUCCACCAAUUCAUCAAACUUUGGUUCAGGAUCUAGUCCAUCCCCUUCAUCAGUCAAGGUUUCUGGAAGCACCACAAGCUACACUUUCCUUCAUCUCGUGCCAUACCACUCCUACAACAUUCAGCUGGAAGUGUGCACCAGUGUGGGUUGUUCAGUGUCCAAAACUGUGCACUUUCGAACCUUGCCUGCUCCUUCUGAAGGCCUCCCCGCACCUCAUCUUUAUUCUGACACCCCCACCUCGGUUCUCCUGUCCUGGGGUGCACCACAGAGUCCCAACGGACUUUUGGAGAGGUGGCUGAUUGAACGCAGAGUUGCUGGAACAGAGCAAAUCUCCACAGUAGGCCAUCUUCCUCCAGACCCUCUUCCUCUUUCCUUUCUGGACUCCUCAUCAGCACUUAGUCCUUGGACAAGUUACCACUAUAGACUUGUUCUCCAGAAUCAGGCUGGAAGUUCCACAGGGCCUUGGGUAGGUAUCACCACCAGACCUUCCAGACCUGCUGGUGUGACACCACCGAGGGUGAAAGUAUUGGGACCAGAGUCACUACAGGUCACAUGGGCUGCACCUUUGAUUCCCAAUGGCGAGAUCCAAGGUUACGAGAUCCGUCUCCCAGAGCCCCGCAUCUUCCACAAUGGCGGCAACACGUCUGAGCUUGAUGUCACAAUAACAGCCCUAACUCCUUACACAAACUAUAGCGUUACUGUGCUGGUGUGUUCCGAGGGGGGUGGAUAUGUUGGUGGAUGCACAGAAAGUCUGCCCAUUCCAGCUACCACAUUACCCAGCAACCCCCAGGGCCUAGCACCGCUGUCAGUGGUGGCCGUCAGUGAGUCCUUCCUUGCUGUCUCUUGGCAACCUCCACACAGGCCCAAUGGACCAAAGAUCCGAUACAAGUUGCUACGACGUAAAAGCCACCAGCCGCUGGCCGUCACCGCGGUCCCCAUAGUAACAGCCCCAUCCCAUAACCCUUCCGAAGAUCUCCAUCGCUGGCUCCAUGUUUACUCCGGCACCAAAUUGUUCUACCAAGAUAAAGGCCUAAGCAGAUUCACCCACUACCAGUAUCAGUUGGUAGUCCACAAUGAUGUGGGGUUCACUUCAGGAGAGAUUGUCACUGCGGUCACCAUGGCUGGGAUUCCUCUCCACAGUCCAACUCUGUUUGCAUUUGCUGUCAAUCACACAGCACUUCACGCCAACUGGACCCCACCCUCCUUGUACAACCUGCAGGGUGAAGUGAAGUCAUACUUUCUUACAGUCAUCUCUGCCAACUCGAGACAAAACGUUGUCUUUCCCCCGGAAAUCCUCUCCACAAUGGUGACUGACCUUUGGCCCCAGACCACCUACACGGUGUCAUUACACGUGUCUAAUGGAGCACAUAAUACAACUAAGUCGAUAGUUAACGUCACAACAGAGGAUGGAGAGCCAGAUGGGAUGUCUGCCCCAGAGGUGGUUCCGGUUAACAGCAGCACUGUCCGUGUGCUCUGGUCUCCUCCUCUACGACCCAACGGAGUCAUUACUAGUUACAGAGUUUACCUUGAUGACCACAACCAUGUCAGCAUAGACAACAGCUCAGGGUCCUACCUGCUGGGCAAUCUGCUGCCUUUUACUGUUUACAACGUUCAGGUGGAGGUGUGCACCGUUUACGCAUGUGUGCGGAGUAAUGUUACUCAGACAACCACUGUGGAGGACCUACCUGCUGACAUGACCAUACCACAUGCACAAGUUCUCAGUCCAAGGGUUGUCCAGUUGGACUGGUCCCCCCCAGGCCGACCAAGUGGCAUCAUGCUAGGUUAUGAGGUCUUAAGACGGACCUUAGGGUCAUGUGGUUCUCGGUCAGCAGGAGUCACACCCUAUGUGAGGAAAGAGUCCAGAGAUGGAGGCGGUGUAGUUCUCAGUUGCUCCUACUUGCAGUGUCCAGCUAGUCAUCGUGUGUGCGGGACGACAUGCUUCCACCCUGACCAAGAGGUUUGCUGCACUGGAAUAUUAUAUCCUAAGAUGCCAAAUCAUUACUGCUGUGCAGGACACUAUAUUAGCUUUACAAAUUCCUCCAGUCCAGUCUGCUGCAAUGGCAAACUGUUGCCAUCUCUCCCAGACCACCACUGCUGUGGAGGAUAUUAUGUUCACCUGAAAGCUAAUGAAUAUUGCUGCCCCGACCAGUCGCAGGGCUGUGUCUCAGUGGGGCCUGGGGACAGCUGCUGUGGGGGCGCUCCCUACGCCACCAAAGGCGGACAGCUGUGCUGCAGUGGGAGCCUCCACGAUGGCUAUGGGGUUCAGUGUUGUGGAGGCCACAUUGUAGGUGAUGCUCUGGUCUGCUGUGGUGGUGCUGUGGAGGGUCAAGUGCAUACAUACAUUCCAGGUUUUUCCUGCUGUGGUCAAGAGUACAUCAACUCUUCUACGUCUCUCUGCUGCUUGGGCAGUGAUGGAGUUCCAACAAUACAUCCAUCGGGCAAUACCACAGUCAAAUUGCAGUGUUGUGGGUCAAAGGUUGUACUUCAAGAACAAGAAUGCUGCAAUGGAAUUGGUUUUGACGCGCAACGCCAUGUGUGUGCCAGCAGGCCCACACCAGGCCUUUUGAUGGAGAGUGGCUGUUUGCAGGGUGCUCUGUGUCCUGUGUCUACAUCCUCCACAGCUUACUGUGGCUCCUGUGACAUUGAGCCAUCUACGACUGCCUGCACAUGGGUUCUGUCUGCACAUGUUGACGCUCCCUCCGCUACACACACCCAUACAAUCCCCGCCACAUCUGAAGCACUCAUCACAGGGUCCUACACACAUAAAAACAUCAGUCAUCUGCACAAUGGCAUUCUGAGUUAUGAACGGAGUUUGUGCCCGUCCCAUGAGGAGGCAGUGUACAGCGGAGAUGCCAAAAGAUACACUUAUACAGAUUUGGACUUGGAGCCCUUCACCACCUACGAGUACAGAGUGAGGGGCUGGAACAGCUUUGGCCGGGGCACCAGUGACGUUAUCACGGUGACCACCGCUGAAGACAAACCAUGGGGGGUACCCCCUCCUCGAUGGAGACGUCUGGAAGAACGGAGUGACAUCAUCCAGUGGCAUUGGCAAACACCUGCUAGACCUAAUGGAGUCAUUACCCACUAUGUGAUACUGCGUGAUGGACAAGAGCGCUACCGUGGCCAAGAGAAUAGUUUCACAGACAUGAGUGGGAUCAGACCCUUCCAAGAAUUUACUUACCAGCUGCGGGCCUGCAACAGGGCUGGUUGCACUGAUAGUACAAAGAUGAUAGCAGUAACAGUUCAAGGAGUCCCAGAGGGGGUGCAGUCUCCAGCGGUAAGAGCGUUGAGCCCCACCUCUCUUCAAAUGAGCUGGUUCCGACCUGCACGUCCCAAUGGAAGAGUGCAGCGGUAUCACCUGAACCAGACCGGUGUUGGCACCAUAUUUACACACACAGAGGCACCUGGGAAUUAUACAGUGACUGGUUUGCAGCCAUUCACAGGCUACACGUUUGUGCUAGUGGCCUGCACAGCUGUGGGAUGUGGCACCAGUUCACCUUCCACAGGACGCACCCUGCAAGCCGCUCCCACUGGUGUGUGGUCGAGGCCCAGACACGUGAUAGUCAACUCAUCUGUGGUGGAACUGUACUGGCAUGAACCGGCCAGGCCCAAUGGACUUGUCUCCCGGUACAGACUGCGCAGAGGCGGUCACACUAUUUUUACCGGAGACUACCGUGACCAGAAUUAUACCGACACUGGACUCCUGCCGAACCGCAGGUAUGUUUAUGAACUGGAGGCCAUCACAGGCGGCGGUACUGGUUUGAGUGACAAAUAUGUUAUAAAAACACCAUACUCAUGCCCCUCUGGGAUCCCAGCUCCACACAAUGUGACAGUCACCGGCCCCCACUCCAUCUCCUUGGCCUGGACCCCUCCUGCCCACUUCAACAUUAGCCAUUCUGUAAGCUACAACAUUCUGUUGAAUCCUGGAAGUGGAGGUGCCACAAUACAUCCCACAGGCCAAGAGCUGGAGCUCACUUUAACAGUUCUUCAGCCCUUCACCACCUAUUAUAUCCGAGUGCAGGCUUGUCAGAGUGGGGGUUGUGGUGUAGGAGAGGGUGUGUAUGUUCGGACUUUAGAAACUGCACCAGAAUAUUUAUCGCCACCCUCAGUAACUGCAGCCGGUGCAACUGGCCUGGAGAUCCACUGGGCUCCCCCCAAAAAACCCAAUGGCAUCAUCACCUCCUACCAUAUAUACAGGUCCCCAGUGGAAACCGAGGAGGAACUGCUGGUUUUCAUCUGGUCUAGUGGACCACUAGAGUUUUUCGAUGCCAGCCCAUCCUUGCAGCCCUUCACCUACUACCAGUACAGGCUUCAAGCCCACAACUCUAAAGGCUCUGUUCUGAGCCAGAGGACGUUAACCCAGACCCUGUCGGCACAGCCAAACGAUAUGACCCCUCCCACUGCCACACCCACUGGUGCAUACUCUAUUCAUCUGAAAUGGACUGGACCAAAACAGCCCAAUGGUGUCAUUUCUCACUAUAAAUUACUUUACAAGAAGCACCAGCUGGACCCGACUUUGAGCUCACCGGCAGCGUCUGCGCUCACUGUGGAGGGUUCAAUCCUAGAAGCAAACGUCUUUGGCCUUGAGCCCUACAGCAAGUAUAGUCUACAAGUGGAAGCUGUAAAUGAAGCAGCCAGUGUGUCAAGUCCGUGGGUAGGCUCGAUGACCCUGGAGGCUUCUCCUGCUGGACUGGCUAACUUCAGUGUGGAGCAGAAAGAGCGGGGCAGGUCGUUGCUGCUCAACUGGGAUCCACCAAGUUCUCCAAAUGGCGUCGUCACGAUGUACAAUUUGUACAGUGAGGGCAACCUGGAGUUCAGCGGACUCUCACGCAACUUUCUGUUUCGUCGCUUGGAGCCGUGGACCACGUACACUCUUACUCUUGAAGCCUGUACGUCAGCAGGGUGCACACGUAGCUCUCCUCAGCAUGUCACCACUGCUGCCGCACCGCCAGCCUCGCAGCCCCCUCCAACACCUCUUUCCGUCAGUUCAGACCACGUGUCGCUCACCUGGGGACCUCCCGCUCAGCCGAAUGGGCCCAUUGACGAUUACUACUUACUGGGAAGAAGUAUGGAUCAGGUGGGGAGGGGUAGAAGCAGAGAGGAGGAUGCUCAAAGAGAGAAAGUGCUGUUCAGACAGUCUUCUCCACAAGAAAAUGACACUUUCUCCUACACAGUGAUUGGGUUGCGUCCUUGGACUCAGUAUGGGUUUGCCGUACGUUCUCACAACGCCGCCGGCCACGCCCACAGCUCCUGGUUAAGCGUGACAACCAGGCAGGCACCCCCUCGCGGCCUAGCCCCACCGACUGUGAGUCUCCUUCAGGGUCGACCCAGUGAAGUGUUGGUGUCAUGGACUCCUCCUCUGGAACCCAACGGUGUGCUCCAGUCUUAUAGGAUCCAGAGAAACAAUAUGAGCUUCUCCUUUAGCUUUGACCCGACGGUGCUCAGCUACACUGAUGAGGAUCUUCUUCCCUUUGCAAGCUAUAGCUAUUCAAUCAUAGCCUGCACAUCUGAGGGAUGCAUCAAAAGCCCUUACACUAACAUUACCACCUUAGAGGCUCCACCCGCCACUGUGGCGCCUCCCACGGUGAACUUCAUCACAUCCAACAGUAUGAACAUUUCCUGGACUAAGCCACCCACCCAGAAUGGGGAGGUGACUGAAUAUGUUCUCAAAGUAAACAGUGAGGAGGCUUAUCGUGGUAGAGACAUGAAGACCGUUCUGGUACGCUUCCUUCAUCCUCACAUGUCCUACCAGCUGGUACUGUUGGCGUGUACCAGUGGUGGAUGCACCGCCAGUGCAACAACAUCCACUGUGACAAAGGAGGCUCCUCCCUUGGACAUGCCAACCCCCACUCUAAAGGUCACUGGUCCUGAGUCAGUAGAAGUAAGCUGGGGACCACCACAGAAUCCCAAUGGCAUCAUCACAGGCUACGAACUCCGCAGAGAUGGCGAUGUAAUCUACGUGGGCCCCGAGACUCAUUACCACGACUUCACUCUUCUGCCCAGUGUGGAGUACAGCUACUUUGUCAGGGCCAACAACAGCAGAGGGGCAGUGAGCAGCGCCACAGCCAAAGCAAAGACUCACCCAGCGGCUCCUUCAGGUGUCGCCCCCCCCUUGUUGUCGCCUCUGGGACCCGCUCAGGUGAAAGUGGAGUGGAACAUUCCCGCCCGUCCUAAUGGAGAUAUUAUUAGCUACACAGUAUAUCACAGAGAGCCCGUCCAGCUCAGUGUAAGCAGCACUGUGUACACUCCAGAGGGCACAGUCUUCUCCGAGAGAUGCACUACUCUGCAGGGGCUCGCUCCCUACCGCAGGUAUGAGGUGAGGGUCGAGGCGUGCACCGAACUCGGCUGCUCCUCCAGCGACUGGUCAUCCAUCCUCACGCCAGAGGCUCCCCCCACUGGACAGGCGGCGCCACUGUUAGACCUGCAAGCUGACACCCACACAGGCCUCCAGACCACCUUUUUGCUUACCUGGGCCCCUCCAGCUCAGCCAAAUGGGAGGGCCCCGUGUUACGAGGUGUACCGUAGACUGGAGCUCACCACCAAUAGCCACAGAAAUGAUGCAGCGAAACUAGUUUAUAAUUACUCAUCCACAAGUUGCAAGGAUGAGGGACUCCUGCCAUUUACCACUUAUCAGUACCAGCUGUGGGCAGUGAAUUCAGCCGGCCGUUCUUCCAGUCAGUGGGUCAGCGGUACAACCGGACCUGCCCCGCCUGAGGGUGUCGCUCCGCCCACUAUCCGGCUCAUCUCAGCAACAACAGCCGUGGUGGAAAUGCAUCCUCCGGUCCAGCCCAAUGGCGUCGUCAGCCUUUACCGCGUGUUCUCGCUGGACCGCAACGAUGACGUUACUCUGCUCUCAGAGGGAAGAUCCCAUCAACAGACACUUUAUGGUUUACUGCCUUACACACAGUACAGGGUCGGAGUGGAGGCCUGCACCUGUUAUCAGUGUUGUAGCCAGGGACCAGUAGUUGCGCUGCGCACCCUAGCCGCACCCCCAGCCCGCCAGCCGCCGCCUCGACCCGUCACGCUGACCUCACGCUCUGCUCAGCUGGCCUGGUUUGAGCCUCUGGAGCCCAACGGAAUCAUCGAGAGCUGUGAGCUCCAUCGCAGAACAACCUGCCCGCAGCCCCCUCAGCCUGUGAGCCACCCUUGUGUUACUGGCCCAGCGGACAUUACAUUCUUUGCCAAGAGGCGCAGCUACAAUGUGACAGGUCUUCAGCCAUAUUCUGCUUAUGAAGUUAGAGUAGCGUGCUUUAACAACAUGGGCAGCACCGCCUCCAACUGGACCACCGUCAUCACGCUCAGUGAAGCUCCACAGUACGUGUCGCCGCUGUCGGUCGGCAGCAACCUGACAGUCAUUUGGCUGGACUGGACGGGCUCCUUCUCCCUGAACGACUACCUCAGGGAGUAUACGGUGACCGAGAGCCAGCUCAGGAUCUACAGUGGCUUCCACAGCUACCUCCAUGUUCCACGCACAUCACAGAAAACGCUGUCAUUUCAGGUGACUUGUACCACAGACAGUGGCAGUGCCACCACUCCCACUGUCAGAUAUAGCCCUGCUUCAGGCCUAGGUCCUGUUGAUCCAGAAGACACAAGUAAAGAGGGAGCGAGUAUGUCAGCAGCACCAAUCUACUCUGAGCUGUGGUUCAUUUUGCUGUUUGCGCUGCUGGGUCUCUUCUUGCUGGCCAUCCUGUUGGGCCUUCUGCUGCAAAGAACUCUGAGGAAGAAUCCUUCAGCCAGAGAUCGCCCUCCCCUGGUCAUGCUUCAGAAGAGCAGGAAGGCUGCAGGAGAAACAUACACGAGGCCUUAUCCCGACUUGUGUUCAAAACAUCAUUCCAGCGCUGGCCUUCAUCCCGAUCGCCACACAGGCCUGUCAGACACCAAGAUAGUGGGCGACGGCUCUGCAUUCCACCCUAUGUCCGUCCUGAGGGUCCCCAGGCAAACGGACCUGACUCAGGCCUACUCCCAUCAUCCCUUGCACCACAGCCUCACCCAGCUGAUUGACAGGAAGGCUCCGGUGACAGAAGAGGGCUGCUGGGACAACCCUCUGGAACCAGCGCUGUACGUGGAGGAAGACUUUGCAGAUGCCAUCAAGUCUUUAAGUUGUGUGAGAAAGGAGCACGCCACCUUCACUGACACACAUCUUUGAGAUGCUGCACCCAAUCAGGGAGCAUCAAGGCAAGUUGGAAAUGAAGAAAAGUGGCAGUGAGAAAGACAGCCUCACUCAAGGUCGCCCGUCAAGGGCGCGCGCGUGCACACACACAUUCAUGGGCUUGUUCGCAACUACUGUCAGCCACAGAGGGAGGAGAGGGAGGUGGUGAAAUGAGAGCGUGUGGAGUGAUUGUAAAGGACAGUGUGGCCCUGAGCUACACACACACACACACAGUUUUAUUAAAGUCAUAAAUCAUUGUGACGACACGCGCCGUCUGAAAAGAGGAGACUGUCUGAAAGAGGAGUUGAUUGUGCUGUCCCACAACGUACUCACAGAUGGACACUUCAAAAAGCCUUUGACCCCAGCUACCUUAAUCAUCUCCAACAGAAGUCGGUCACCAUGCUUGAUGGGUACAUAAAAUUGAAACAAAUCUGAAGAUCAUUGUUUUAUACAGUAUUCGUAGUUAGUACCUAGUCAUUUCUUACAGUGGUAACAACAACUGAUUACUGGUCUGACCUUUAACAUGGGAAACAUUUUGGAUAUUCUUUUAAAAUCAAUAAGGCUCUUUCUUGGAAAUAUAAGCGAAUGGUUGAAAGGCACGUUAUAAAAUAAGUUAUUUCAUUGAUACUCUAGAUUUCGGUUCAUGUUAAACGUAUUAUGUAUAUAUUCAUAUUUUUUAUUCCCCCGCUACCUUCCAAUCUUACCUUCAGCCUUAACUGCCACCCCCCCCCACCUGAGAUGACAUGCAUUUCGAAAUGUUAUUAAAUGUAUAUUCUAUUAAAGGGUGAGUUUGCAGUUUUAAAACUGCUAGCAGGAUUGGAAUGUAGCCUCGCUCCACUAAUCCCGCCCUACCCGAGUCACUGACCAAAGCCGCGCCGUCCGCUGUUGUGAACGUGCACGAGACGUGCCGUGUACUUAACAUGCUCUGGAAACAAACGUGACGUUAGCCACACCUGCUACGUUGUUUCCAUGACUCAUUCACAAUUAACUAUUACUAUAAUACUAAAUAGGAGCAGUUUGAAAUUAAAAUGUUGGGAAUUUACUAUAAAAAAAAAAAAAAAACGAGGUGAUGAAUUUAUAUGUCGAGCAAAAAUGUUAAUUAUUCCACUUUGCCCUGCUUCCGUUUGCAAAAUCUUAAACCCAGCUGACAGAUGUUUUUUUUUCCCGUUUGUUUGUUUUUUAAUAAAUGUAAAUACAUUUCCCAGAGGUGGAUUUUCUGCCAUAGUUUCAGCCAAGCUCCUGAAGCCCAAGGAAACAGGUCUGGUCGAGGCUGCAGGGGUGUACUGCUAUGCAUGCCCUCGAGUGCACGGCAAAUGUCUCUGAUUGGUUGUUUUUCCUAGGGUGCGGUUUGGUUUCUUAAAAAUCCAAUUUAUCAAUUUAUCCAAUCCAAUUGUAGAUACAAGAUGGGGCUAGAGGUUUUUUUGUUGUUGUUUUUUAACCCACGUUUUUACUAAUGCUUUUUAGAGCCUUUCUGCUUUUAAAUAUUUCUUGCGCUCUAUGCUGUUUUAAUUGUACUUUUAUUUUUCUCUUUGUUUUAAGUGUUUAUAGGCGGGUUUUUUUUCUUUUGUUUUAAAUGCUUUUAAUCAUGUAAAGCACAUUGGGUUACCUUGUUUACAUUUGCUUUGCUUUGCUAAUGUACUACUGUCAGGUUAGACUGACAGGUUUAACAAAUGUGGCCAAAAGUGUUUUGUUUUCUAAACUACAUACCCUCCCUUUUUUUAAAUGCCCUGUAAUUAUAUUGUAUUGAAUCAGAAUCGGUUAAUUGCAAUUGUCAGUGAAAGGUAUAUUCACAAAUGGGAUUUUUUUACUCAAUCUGAUGGUGCAAACAUAAAAAACAUAGAUGGCACUCAUCAAAAUAAAAUAUAAAUGGACUCAAAAGAAGGAAAAGGAAUUUAUCAUAGUUGUGUUUUUUAAGUUAUUACAUUAACUGUACCUUCCAAUGUGACUUUAAACUUUAACUGGCAUAUUGGAUGCCUUUACAAUGUAAUGGAUUUGGAUUGAAAGUGGGGGGAAGGGGACAACUGCUACCAAACCACUUGACUGCCUUCUAAUUCUUUAUUGGAGUGCCCUAAAUGUCUUUAGUAUUUAGAGUUUUGGGUAACUGUAGGUGACUCAAAAUGGUAUUUCUAUAUAACAUUUCAAUAUUUAUUUUUAUAACACAUUUAUUUCAUCAUGUAAACACAAUCAGAGAACAACUUGGAAUGUUAAUACAUUGAUACAUUUAUUAUGUACUCGUAUAUAAAAUAAAAGUAUGUGUGUUCAUAGUGCAAAUGCAGUCAGGUCCAAUAGCAUCCGUUAUAUACAGUUUAUAUAUAGCUAUGAUUCUCAACAAUACAAGGACAACAAAACAUCACAGAUAUAAAUCCAUUUUAGUAGGAUUU